RNAcentral lists this transfer RNA (69 nucleotides) under Plethodon elongatus (Del Norte salamander). Its description in RNAcentral is "tRNA-Asp". The record is from RNAcentral. Lineage: Eukaryota; Metazoa; Chordata; Amphibia; Caudata; Plethodontidae.
UAGAUAUUAGUAAAAUAAUUACAAAGCCUUGUCAUGGCCUAAUUAUAAGUUAAAACCUUAUAUAUCUAU